ACAGACCAAUGUCUCUGAUGAACAUAGAUGCCAAAACAUUAAACAAGAUCUUGGACAACUGGAUACAGUAACAUAUCAAAGAGAUUGUUCAUCACGCCCAAGUGGGAUUCUUACGAGGAAUGCAAGGCUGAUUCAACAUCCGGUCCAGAUGCCACCAGGAUGCUGGCCAGGCUUCCCUGGAUUGAAGACCCCACCAAUGUGUCCUGAAGCUCAGCUUCCCCAGAGACACACACUA
Long non-coding RNA from Erinaceus europaeus (western European hedgehog), 235 nucleotides. RefSeq lists it as uncharacterized. The record is from RefSeq and is a predicted model, not a curated record. Lineage: Eukaryota; Metazoa; Chordata; Mammalia; Eulipotyphla; Erinaceidae. The transcript has 2 exons.